RNAcentral lists this ribosomal RNA (429 nucleotides) under Actinomycetes bacterium. RNAcentral's name for it is "Actinobacteria bacterium partial 16S ribosomal RNA". It matches the Rfam family "Bacterial small subunit ribosomal RNA", at positions 355 to 776 of the family's 1533-position model. The record is from RNAcentral. Lineage: Bacteria; Bacillati; Actinomycetota; Actinomycetes.
UAGGGAAUCUUCCGCAAUGGGCGAAAGCCUGCCGGAGCAACGCCGCGUGAGUGAUGAAGGUCUUCGGAUCGUAAAACUCUGUUAUUAGGGAAGAACAAAUGUGUAAGUAACUAUGCACGUCUUGACGGUACCUAAUCAGAAAGCCACGGCUAACUACGUGCCAGCAGCCGCGGUAAUACGUAGGUGGCAAGCGUUAUCCGGAAUUAUUGGGCGUAAAGCGCGCGUAGGCGGUUUUUUAAGUCUGAUGUGAAAGCCCACGGCUCAACCGUGGAGGGUCAUUGGAAACUGGGAAACUUGAGUGCGGAAGAGGAGAGGGGAAGUCCAUGUGUGGCGGUGAAAUGCGCAGGGAUAUGGAGGAACAACAGUGGCGAAGGCGACUUUCUGGUCUGUAACUGACGCUGAUGUGCGAAAGCGUGGGGAUCAAACAGG